ACGCUAGCUACAGGCUUAACACAUGCAAGUCGAGGGGCAGCAUGGUCUUAGCUUGCUAAGGCCGAUGGCGACCGGCGCACGGGUGAGUAACACGUAUCCAACCUGCCGUCUACUCUUGGACAGCCUUCUGAAAGGAAGAUUAAUACAAGAUGGCAUCAUGAGUCCGCAUGUUCACAUGAUUAAAGGUAUUCCGGUAGACGAUGGGGAUGCGUUCCAUUAGAUAGUAGGCGGGGUAACGGCCCACCUAGUCUUCGAUGGAUAGGGGUUCUGAGAGGAAGGUCCCCCACAUUGGAACUGAGACACGGUCCAAACUCCUACGGGAGGCAGCAGUGAGGAAUAUUGGUCAAUGGGCGAGAGCCUGAACCAGCCAAGUAGCGUGAAGGAUGACUGCCCUAUGGGUUGUAAACUUCUUUUAUAAAGGAAUAAAGUCGGGUAUGGAUACCCGUUUGCAUGUACUUUAUGAAUAAGGAUCGGCUAACUCCGUGCCAGCAGCCGCGGUAAUACGGAGGAUCCGAGCGUUAUCCGGAUUUAUUGGGUUUAAAGGGAGCGUAGAUGGAUGUUUAAGUCAGUUGUGAAAGUUUGCGGCUCAACCGUAAAAUUGCAGUUGAUACUGGAUAUCUUGAGUGCAGUUGAGGCAGGCGGAAUUCGUGGUGUAGCGGUGAAAUGCUUAGAUAUCACGAAGAACUCCGAUUGCGAAGGCAGCCUGCUAAGCUGCAACUGACAUUGAGGCUCGAAAGUGUGGGUAUCAAACAGGAUUAGAUACCCUGGUAGUCCACACGGUAAACGAUGAAUACUCGCUGUUUGCGAUAUACUGCAAGCGGCCAAGCGAAAGCGUUAAGUAUUCCACCUGGGGAGUACGCCGGCAACGGUGAAACUCAAAGGAAUUGACGGGGGCCCGCACAAGCGGAGGAACAUGUGGUUUAAUUCGAUGAUACGCGAGGAACCUUACCCGGGCUUAAAUUGCAGAUGAAUUACGGUGAAAGCCGUAAGCCGCAAGGCAUCUGUGAAGGUGCUGCAUGGUUGUCGUCAGCUCGUGCCGUGAGGUGUCGGCUUAAGUGCCAUAACGAGCGCAACCCUUGUUGUCAGUUACUAACAGGUUCCGCUGAGGACUCUGACAAGACUGCCAUCGUAAGAUGUGAGGAAGGUGGGGAUGACGUCAAAUCAGCACGGCCCUUACGUCCGGGGCUACACACGUGUUACAAUGGGGGGUACAGAGGGCCGCUACCACGCGAGUGGAUGCCAAUCCCCAAAACCUCUCUCAGUUCGGACUGGAGUCUGCAACCCGACUCCACGAAGCUGGAUUCGCUAGUAAUCGCGCAUCAGCCACGGCGCGGUGAAUACGUUCCCGGGCCUUGUACACACCGCCCGUCAAGCCAUGGGAGCCGGGGGUACCUGAAGUGCGUAACCGCGAGGAGCGCCCUAGGGUAAAACUGGUGACUGGGG
Molecule: ribosomal RNA, 1443 nt
Filed under: uncultured organism
Description: SSU rRNA
Rfam family: Bacterial small subunit ribosomal RNA
Source: RNAcentral